CUGGAAGCUGCUACUGUCUUCCCUGCAAUCUAAACUACCUUUCAGAUAAAAGGGAGGUGACAGAGGAUGAUGGUGGCUGUGGAAUCUGAAGCUGGACUCUCUGGUUCAGAUAGUACCUCUGUGAUUGCACCAUGAGCUCCUGGGCAGUCCCUCUACCUCCUUUCCUAUAUAACAGUAACCUUGACCUCCCUACCUCCUGGACUGAGUGGAUUAGGACAGAGCAGUGCCUGGAAUAGGAGGAGUCACAGGCACUGUAGUGAUGCCUCUCUGUGUGUCAGGCCUGUUCCCAGCUGGAGUGAUACCCCAGGGCUGUGCUGCUGGACAGUCCACACCACUGAACUGAGACAGGCAAUGGAGACACCUCGGAGCCUGGUGCUCUGAAGAAAGCAGCUAAACAAGCACUGGUCUUGAGAUAAACCACACUGAAACUGUUGCACCUCACCCACUUCCAGACACCGAGUCUCCCACCUUCCACAGCAACAGCCUGGAUUGGACGAGAGGCUGACUUCAGUAACUUUCCCCUGAUAAGGAAGCACUGACCGCGGACUGGUUCUGGCAGUUUACGGAGGCUGCACACUGACGCCUUCAUGUCCCUUUGUGUCCCUGCUUUACCUUUUAACCUAUAAGGCCUAACUGUAAUGCAUUUUUUUCUUUUUUGAGUAUUUUUUUAUUUUGUCAAAUUAAUAUGAGAGUACACUGUUUAGGUACAUUGUUCUCACUUCCAGGGUUAAGUUGUAAUGCAUUUAAAUGUCAAGUUCCACCCCAGAGUGAACAUGGGACGUGGGUGCCACGCAUGUGAACUUCCUGCACCGUGCACAUUCCCCCUUUGUGAAUGUGAUAGUGCUUCUUAUACCCUGCUGAGUACAUGCACUCAGCAACCCAGUCGGCAUCAGUGCCUGUCUCUGCCUCCUCCUUCCAAGGACCUACUUUUGGUCUCCAAUGGAGGCUGCACUCCCCACCCAUCAGGACAGACUUUAUAUGAAAGAGAGCUUUCUUCUCUAAAUUUAUGGACCUCAGGAUUCUUUGUUGACAGUGCUUUUGCCAGAGGUAAACAUGAAAAACAAGAGGAAAUGAGCUGGAACCGGUUUGUUGAGAAGACAGUUGACAGGGAAGAGGA
This is a long non-coding RNA of Nycticebus coucang (slow loris), 1117 nucleotides long. RefSeq lists it as uncharacterized. The transcript has 3 exons. NCBI's taxonomy places the organism in Eukaryota, Metazoa, Chordata, Mammalia, Primates, Lorisidae. The record is from RefSeq and is a predicted model, not a curated record.